Podarcis raffonei (Aeolian wall lizard) is the source of this 698-nucleotide long non-coding RNA. RefSeq lists it as uncharacterized. The record is from RefSeq and is a predicted model, not a curated record. The transcript has 2 exons. NCBI's taxonomy places the organism in Eukaryota, Metazoa, Chordata, Lepidosauria, Squamata, Lacertidae.
AGGGGCGGGAUGAGAAAAUGAAAUCUCAGAUGUUUUCUCAGGAAAACGAUUUUGUGUUGUAGCCCUGUUCCUCUUACCAGCUUCAAUGAGACAUUUCCUUUUGCACUCUCAUCCCACCUUGUGAAUCAUCUCAAGGAAAUGUUAACACAUCUCAUGGGGUCCUCGAUGUCUGACGUGCCCAAAAUGAGCUAAAAACCCCCCGUCAGUUUUGCAAGAUGCAAAGCAUUGAGCUCACCGGGAUCGGUUUGUGUGUGUUUUGGGAAAGAGCAGUUGACCCGCUUUCCGGCAAUCUGUAGAAGGCCAGGGCUCCCCCUGGGAAGAUUUUGUGAUUCAUCUUUCUGGGCAUUGAUUCCUGGCCUUGUUUUUCAGACGUUGUUGUUCUCCAAAAUACAGACAAAGACCUUUCGCUACCGCGAACGGAAGACCCAUAAAAUGUCUGCAUUUCAAAAUCGCGUUGUAAUGAGCGUGCCUGGAAAUCACGCAUUUUAAUCCGGGAGGAGUCAAAGCAAAGCUAACUGAAAGGAAUGAGUUUGCUGUGGACUUUCAGGGCGCAACUGAGCAUCUAUAAACAAGAAAUAUCGAUGGAAGUGGUUCCCCUUAUUCCAGAUUAUUGCAAAGUCUGCUACCUGGCAGGGCCAUUAUUUUCCCUCUUCCAAAUAGUGGGAUGCAGUGAUGGGAAAUGCUUUUUCUCCUGCUGA